GCGGAAGUGGCGAAAUUGGUAGACGCACCAGAUUUAGGUUCUGGCGCCUUAUUAGGUUUGCGAGUUCAAAUCUCGCCUUCCGUA
Molecule: transfer RNA, 84 nt
Filed under: Buchnera aphidicola (Periphyllus lyropictus)
Lineage: Bacteria; Pseudomonadati; Pseudomonadota; Gammaproteobacteria; Enterobacterales; Erwiniaceae
Description: tRNA-Leu
Rfam family: tRNA
About the family: Transfer RNA (tRNA) molecules are approximately 80 nucleotides in length. Their secondary structure includes four short double-helical elements and three loops (D, anti-codon, and T loops).
Source: RNAcentral